RNAcentral lists this ribosomal RNA (1343 nucleotides) under uncultured bacterium. RNAcentral describes it as "16S ribosomal RNA". It matches the Rfam family "Bacterial small subunit ribosomal RNA", at positions 28 to 1378 of the family's 1533-position model. The record is from RNAcentral.
GACGAACGCUGGCGGCGUGCUUAACACAUGCAAGUCGAACGGAAAGGCCCUGCUUUUGUGGGGUGCUCGAGUGGCGAACGGGUGAGUAACACGUGAGUAACCUGCCCUUGACUUUGGGAUAACUUCAGGAAACUGGGGCUAAUACCGGAUAGGAGCUCCUGCUGCAUGGUGGGGGUUGGAAAGUUUCGGCGGUUGGGGAUGGACUCGCGGCUUAUCAGCUUGUUGGUGGGGUAGUGGCUUACCAAGGCUUUGACGGGUAGCCGGCCUGAGAGGGUGACCGGCCACAUUGGGACUGAGAUACGGCCCAGACUCCUACGGGAGGCAGCAGUGGGGAAUAUUGCACAAUGGGCGGAAGCCUGAUGCAGCAACGCCGCGUGCGGGAUGACGGCCUUCGGGUUGUAAACCGCUUUCGCCUGUGACGAAGCGUGAGUGACGGUAAUGGGUAAAGAAGCACCGGCUAACUACGUGCCAGCAGCCGCGGUGAUACGUAGGGUGCGAGCGUUGUCCGGAUUUAUUGGGCGUAAAGGGCUCGUAGGUGGUUGAUCGCGUCGGAAGUGUAAUCUUGGGGCUUAACCCUGAGCGUGCUUUCGAUACGGGUUGACUUGAGGAAGGUAGGGGAGAAUGGAAUUCCUGGUGGAGCGGUGGAAUGCGCAGAUAUCAGGAGGAACACCAGUGGCGAAGGCGGUUCUCUGGGCCUUUCCUGACGCUGAGGAGCGAAAGCGUGGGGAGCGAACAGGCUUAGAUACCCUGGUAGUCCGCGCUGUAAACGGUGGGUACUAGGUGUGGGGUCCAUUCCACGGGUUCCGUGCCGUAGCUAACGCUUUAAGUACCCCGCCUGGGGAGUACGGCCGCAAGGCUAAAACUCAAAGGAAUUGACGGGGCCCCGCACAAGCGGCGGAGCAUGCGGAUUAAUUCGAUGCAACGCGUAGAACCUUACCUGGGUUUGACAUGGAUCGGGAGUGCUCAGAGAUGGGUGUGCCUCUUUUGGGGUCGGUUCACAGGUGGUGCAUGGCUGUCGUCAGCUCGUGUCGUGAGAUGUUGGGUUAAGUCCCGCAACGAGCGCAACCCUUGUUCACUGUUGCCAGCACGUUAUGGUGGGGACUCAGUGGAGACCGCCGGGGUCAACUCGGAGGAAGGUGGGGAUGACGUCAAGUCAUCAUACCCCUUAUGUCCAGGGCUUCACGCAUGCUACAAUGGCUGGUACAGAGAGUGGCGAGCCUGUGAGGGUGAGCGAAUCUCGGAAAGCCGGUCUCAGUUCGGAUUGGGGUCUGCAACUCGACCUCAUGAAGUCGGAGUCGCUAGUAAUCGCAGAUCAGCAACGCUGCGGUGAAUACGUUCCCGGG